UACGUAGGUGGCAAGCGUUAUCCGGAAUUAUUGGGCGUAAAGAGCGCGCAGGUGGUUGAUUAAGUCUGAUGUGAAAGCCCACGGCUUAACCGUGGAGGGUCAUUGGAAACUGGUCGACUUGAGUGCAGAAGAGGGAAGUGGAAUUCCAUGUGUAGCGGUGAAAUGCGUAGAGAUUAGGAAGAACACCAGUGGCGAAGGCGAUUCUCUGGACUGUAACUGACGCUGAGGCUCGAAAGCGUGGGGAGCAAACAGGAUUAGAUA
Molecule: ribosomal RNA, 261 nt
Filed under: uncultured prokaryote
Description: partial 16S ribosomal RNA
Rfam family: Bacterial small subunit ribosomal RNA
Source: RNAcentral